This 2031-nucleotide long non-coding RNA is filed under the name Mus musculus (house mouse). RNAcentral describes it as "long non-coding RNA chr18:84162493-84164524". The record is from RNAcentral. Lineage: Eukaryota; Metazoa; Chordata; Mammalia; Rodentia; Muridae.
GCAGACUACACGCCUGGGCCUAUGCGUUGGGCUGUUUGCCGUGGGUUCAGAAGAGGCGCCAUUUCUGGCCAGAACAACCAGCGUGCCGGUCUCAUUUCUAGCAGCGAUCAGAUUCUUACCAUGGGCCUGCACUGACGUCAGUAAUAAACAAUAAUAAGAUUGUAAACUACGGCUCUUUACAGUAAAGUUAUGCUUCUUGGUCGCGAUAUAAAUCUAAUAGCUAUUACAUCAGCAUCCACGGCUAUAUAUCACGUUUACCUUUUACACUCACAGUCUUGUACGCCUUCACCAAAAUGGCCAGAUUUAUUAUUACUGGUUAACCAUGGCCCUUAUUACGUCACGAAUGACUAAUCGCUAAGACAGGAAGGCGAGUGAGGACAGAGGUGACGCCCCCUACGGGCGCAGGGGUCAGGGAGGGACACACAGUGGCAGCUGCUUCUCGAGGCCUCUCCUCUCCACCAGUGUGGACACAGACACCAACAGGGUCUGAGCAUAUGCUCAGGUGCUAAAGGGGAGGUCAUGUGACCGGUCCAUUGGCUCAGCCAGCACGCUGACUUCCGAAUGAACGACUGCUAUCCCCGAGUUUGCUUUGCUAAGUCACCGCUCCUCAUUCCGUGGCCUGACUUCAUCAGCCAUGGGAAGGAGGCUCCGGAGCUCCUCCGUGCAGGGACUGUGUCUCGGAACAUGGCCAGCAUGUCUGGUUUGGCUCUGCAGGUUUUCGUGAGACAAAGGGGUAAAGGAUGAAUGAUAAUCACCUAAGACCAAAACCACAUCACUAUCAACGGAGAGAGAUGGCGCAGUGAGAUGGGCUCUCUCUAGCAAACCUGAUGACUUGAAUUCAAUACCAGGGACCCACUGGAUGGAAAGGCAGAGUGGACUCCUGCAUUGUCCUCUGACUUACGCACACGCAUGCGCCCACCCACUCACCCGCCCCCACAAUAUUAAAAAAAAUCUUAAUUUCAUCAUAUUAUUACCACUGAUAUUAUUUGCACCUUGAGUCUCUUACAAGAGGUGGUAAAAUGGUCCCCUAAUGAGUCCCAUAGCCCCUCUGUCAACUUCCCCAAGGUAUGAAGACCUGCUUGGGGAGUAUCUUACUCUUCAGGGAGAAAAGCCAAAGCCUGGAGACCGCGAGAUACUCUUCCCCGGUGCUCUGAAUCAGCAGAGCAGAAAGACACAGACCCCAGCGAUGCCCACGGUGUGGUACAGGGCUGUCAAUACCCCCGGUGGCCCUCAGAGAGCUGUGGCAGACAACACAAGGUGGUGACCCCUGACCCAGAAGGAGAUCAGACUCCUCCAUUCAAGGUGUACCCUGAAACUGGCCAGGCAGGGGCCACUAUGCCCAUGGUGUGUUUCUCUCAGUGGUGUUCCUAGCACAGGGAGGGCAGCUGGGGGCGGGCACAGAUGAGUUUGCAGGAGCUCAGCUUAUAUUUCUUCCUCUCAACCCUGGCACCUUUUCAGGAGAAGCAGGUGACUUGUCCUCACUGUGAGCCGUGUCCCAGCACUCAGGGGGCUGGGGACAGAUAGGGAAGGGGUGUGACUGGAGGGAAAGACCCGUGUGCAGACUUCUAAGACCAUGAAGCCCAGAGUGAUUCCUGCCUUGGCACCUGCUCCAGAACCUUCCUGAAGGAAGAAAGAAAGGAAGAAGAAGAAGAAAAAAAAAAAGGUUGUCUUCAUUAAGAGCAUUAAUAUUCAUGCGGCAUGGUAAUUUUGACACGGAAAAGGUCUCUGUAACCUUUUCUUGUGUGAGGAUUUUUACUUCUCAAGGAAAUUACAGUCCAGCAACGGCUUAAUUACUGCUGGAUUCUUUCGGCAGGAGGAGCUGUCAGUUUGGGAUUGCGGGAGAUGUCACAUGAGGAACAACCGGCUGGGGGACAGCAGGAAGGACCUGGCCCCCACGGGCCAGCGGGCGGGCGGGUGGGGCCCACGCGCCUUCCCCAUUAGUUCUAAUUUAGCAGCCGGCUUCCCCCAGUGCCGGGUCAUUUAUUAUUGGGAUGCAGGGCACAGCUUGAAUUAAUAAUCCAUUUUUCACCC